Sciurus carolinensis (gray squirrel) is the source of this 310-nucleotide long non-coding RNA. RefSeq lists it as uncharacterized. NCBI's taxonomy places the organism in Eukaryota, Metazoa, Chordata, Mammalia, Rodentia, Sciuridae. The record is from RefSeq and is a predicted model, not a curated record. The transcript is spliced from 3 exons.
UGUCCGACCCCAGGCCCGCGGUGUGUGGCUCCUGCUUCUAUUCACUCUUCCGUCGGGAACCACUUGGGAACAGGUUGUAGACAUCAGGACUCUUCCCCACUAAGGCAAGGCCACCGUGCACACGGCCACUGUCACCCCGAACCCUUCAACCCGGGGUGUCCAGUGCUGAGGGAUGGAACCCCAGGCCUGGUGCACACCAGGUUAGAUCCUGGCUGAACACGCGAGGCCAGAAUACAGCAUGGUGAUGUUAAAGCCCCGGUGAAGGAGAUGGGGAAACGGCGCCCUCGAGUCGGCGGCAGGCUCCACGCAU